UGUCAUGAGCAGCUGCUGCGUUUCUUAACGUAGAGGAAAGUCCAUGCUCGCACUAGCUGAGAAGCUAGUAGUGUUCGUGCCUAGCCAAUUCAUAAGCUAGGGCAGUUGCAAUUCUGCAAUUGACGGCAAGAGAAGCACCUAAGUCUUCUAUUAGAUACGGUACACACUCUUUGAAGGUGCCACAGUGACGGAGUCUGUUUGGAAACGAACAGAGUGGAACGAGGUAAACCCCGCGAGCGAGAAACCCAAACAAUGGUAGGGGCAUUUUUUAGUCUGGAAAUGAACGGAACUAAAAAGACGAUUUAUUCGUAGAUAGAUAGUUGCUACUUUUAGUACGAGGCUCAUCACCGUAUGCAGUACAAUCGUACAGAACAUGGCUUAUGAUU
This is a non-coding RNA of Bacillus sp. JCM 19045, 386 nucleotides long. The record is from Rfam. Lineage: Bacteria; Bacillati; Bacillota; Bacilli; Caryophanales; Bacillaceae.